This 415-nucleotide unclassified non-coding RNA is filed under the name Hevea brasiliensis (rubber tree). The record is from RNAcentral. Lineage: Eukaryota; Viridiplantae; Streptophyta; Magnoliopsida; Malpighiales; Euphorbiaceae.
GCAAAUGUCAUCUCAAUUCCAUCCUCAGAAAUGGCAUGCUGGUGAGCGAAUUUUCCGGCGUUGUUUAUGAGAAGAUUGAGAGGAAAAUUCAGAUAUUCAAAUUCAGCGACGAAAUUCCGUACGGAACUCAGAGAGCUAAGAUCGAGAGCCAUAACGAUGAUCUCCGCCUCCGGCACUUCAGAUAGGAUUCGAGUUUUUGUUUCCUCUGCCGCUUUUACACUACGCGCCGGUAAAAUCAGCUUAACACCACGUUUUGCCAGAACUCUCGCCGUCUCCGCUCCAAUUCCUGACGUCGCACCAGUGAUAAUAGCGGUGACCGACCGAAGAUCAGGAGACUGUUCGGUGACGUUCUCGGCAGUGGAUUUUGAACCGUAACCGCUAGCUCCGGCGGAACCAAGCAAGUACUUCACCGUUU